Molecule: long non-coding RNA, 1374 nt
Filed under: Homo sapiens (human)
Lineage: Eukaryota; Metazoa; Chordata; Mammalia; Primates; Hominidae
Description: long intergenic non-protein coding RNA 1968
Source: RNAcentral
AGUGAGUCCUGUUCAGCGUGGGAGGAAAUAACACAAGAGGCAAAGAUCACUCGGGACCACCUUGUAUAUUGGCUACCACAGAACCCAACACAAGCAGUAAGUUAAAAUCAUGAAGCUCCUGACGUCAGAGGACAUGGCUCUGCCAUUUGUUAGGUAGGGAUCCUGUUAAAGGCUCAGCUUCCUCAUCUGGAAAUGGAAAUAUAGGCCUUGCCUGGUUUGCUGUAAUGGGUCGUGAUGAGGACCAAACUACAAAGAGUGGUACAGAUGUUAAUUACAAUGAUUUUUCCUAUGCCACCCAUGGAAACAAAAAUAGCAAGAUAGAGAAGGCUAAAUCCCAGUUUUUUUUGACUGCUAUUCAGCAAAGCCUAGGAGACUUUCAUGACACCUGGAGAGGCGGCCGUAGUGUAUGUGUAAGAGUACCGGUUCCAGAGUGGGGCUCCCCGAGCUCAGCCCCACCACUUACCAACAGCGGACCUUGGGCCAGAUGCUGAAGCCCUUUGUGCCUUGGUUUCCUGACCUAUUACUGUGGAAAUGAUGACAGUACCCUCCUCAUGGCAUCGUGAGAAUUAAAUUAGCUAAUUCAGGUGAAGCAUUUAGAAGAGGACCUCCUGACACUUAAUAACUGCUUGAUAUAAAUAAUAGCUUCUGCUACAGAGUGGCCAUGAAGUCUGGACAUGUAGAUAUUAUAUUAUCAUGCAUCAUAAGUUCAGUUCUAUGUCAACAUUCCAAGAAAAUCCAGACUGAGCCUCCUCCUCACCAGUGCUCCUGUCUAGUCCUGGAGGCAGGGGACCUGCUCUGGAAUCUCAGCUCAUGCAGCAAGUACCCGGAUGACUUUAGGCAAAUCAUGUCACCUCGCUAGAUCUCCCUCUCUUCCUCUGGUACAUGGGGCAUCCAUACCUGCCUCACCAGCACUGCAAUGAAUGCUGCUGCACACGCUGUUGAGCUCGUGGACACUUUCCUGCUGGGUGAGGACCCGAACGUGAAAUUGCUGGGUCAUGGAUUCAAGUGCUACACAUAUUUUUGACCACAUUACUGUGACUCAGGAAGCCCAGGAACAGAAUUCUAGGCACCAGAACCAUACAUGUUACAGCCUCUGAGCUUUAUGGCCUCUGAGCCAUUUGUCCAGCCACAUCAUUUGCAGAUGAGAUCCUGAGACUCAGGCUGGAAAAGUGACCGGGGAAAAGUCACACAAGUCAGAGGCAGAGCUGGAGUUUCCUCAUUUCCAGGCCCGUAUAGAUCAAGACGGACGUUGGUCAAACACCUCCUAGUACUCACAUGAAGAAGCUCUCCUUUCUGCUGUAGGAAUGAUCACACACCAUUCCAAUCUGGAUACCAAAUGUCAUUGUUUAUUAAAUGUGUGCAGUGUGCCAGGCA